ACGCUCGACACCUACGGGAGGUAGCAGUGGGGAAUAUUGCACAAUGGGCGAAAGCCUGAUGCAGCAACGCCGCGUGAGCGAAGAAGGCCUUGGGUCGUAAAGCUCUGUCCUCAAGGAAGAUAAUGACGGUACUUGAGGAGGAAGUCCCGGCUAACUACGUGCCAGCAGCCGCGGUAAUCUGAGCGGGCUGGCAAGGC
RNAcentral lists this ribosomal RNA (197 nucleotides) under uncultured bacterium. RNAcentral describes it as "partial 16S ribosomal RNA". It matches the Rfam family "Bacterial small subunit ribosomal RNA", at positions 328 to 539 of the family's 1533-position model. The record is from RNAcentral.